UGCCUCCUACGGGGGGCAGCAGUGGGGAAUAUUGCACAAUGGGGGAAACCCUGAUGCAGCAACGCCGCGUGAGUGAAGAAGUAUUUCGGUAUGUAAAGCUCUAUCAGCAGGGAAGAAGAAAGACGGUACCUGACUAAGAAGCCCCGGCUAACUACGUGCCAGCAGCCGCGGUAAUACGGAGGAUGCGAGCGUUAUCCGGAUUUAUUGGGUUUAAAGGGUGCGCAGGCGGCCUGUUAAGUCAGCGGUAAAAGCCCGGGGCUCAACCCCGGCGAGCCGUUGAAACUGGCGGGCUGGAGUUGGAGAGA
RNAcentral lists this ribosomal RNA (305 nucleotides) under uncultured bacterium. Its description in RNAcentral is "bacterial SSU rRNA". It matches the Rfam family "Bacterial small subunit ribosomal RNA", at positions 333 to 655 of the family's 1533-position model. The record is from RNAcentral.